AACGAACGCUGGCGGCAUGCCUAACACAUGCAAGUCGAACGAGACCUUCGGGUCUAGUGGCGCACGGGUGCGUAACGCGUGGGAACCUGCCCUUAGGUUCGGAAUACCUCCCCGAAAGGGGUGCUAAUACCGGAUAAUGUCUUCGGACCAAAGAGUUAUCGCCUUUGGAUGGGCCCGCGUUGGAUUAGCUAGUUGGUAGGGUAAAAGCCUACCAAGGCGACGAUCCAUAGCUGGUCUGAGAGGAUGAUCAGCCACACUGGGACUGAGACACGGCCCAGACUCCUACGGGAGGCAGCAGUGGGGAAUAUUGGACAAUGGGCGAAAGCCUGAUCCAGCAAUGCCGCGUGAGUGAUGAAGGCCUUAGGGUUGUAAAGCUCUUUUACCCGGGAUGAUAAUGACAGUACCGGGAGAAUAAGCUCCGGCUAACUACGUG
This 433-nucleotide ribosomal RNA is filed under the name uncultured bacterium. RNAcentral's name for it is "partial 16S ribosomal RNA". It matches the Rfam family "Bacterial small subunit ribosomal RNA", at positions 29 to 507 of the family's 1533-position model. The record is from RNAcentral.